GCAGCGCGGGGCAACCUGGCGGCGAGUGGCGAACGGGUGAGUAAUAUAUCGGAACGUGCCCUGGAGUGGGGGAUAACGCAGCGAAAGUUGCGCUAAUACCGCAUACGAUCUAAGGAUGAAAGCGGGGGAUUCGCAAGAACCUCGUGCUCCUGGAGCGGCCGAUAUCUGAUUAGCUAGUUGGUGGGGUAAAGGCCUACCAAGGCAUCGAUCAGUAGCUGGUCUGAGAGGACGACCAGCCACACUGGAACUGAGACACGGUCCAGACUCCUACGGGAGGCAGCAGUGGGGAAUUUUGGACAAUGGGCGAAAGCCUGAUCCAGCAAUGCCGCGUGAGUGAAGAAGGCCUUCGGGUUGUAAAGCUCUUUUGUCAGGGAAGAAACGGUGAAGGCUAAUAUCCUUUGCUAAUGACGGUACCUGAAGAAUAAGCACCGGCUAACUACGUGCCAGCAGCCGCGGUAAUACGUAGGGUGCAAGCGUUAAUCGGAAUUACUGGGCGUAAAGCGUGCGCAGGCGGUUUUGUAAGUCUGUCGUGAAAUCCCCGGGCUCAACCUGGGAAUUGCGAUGGAGACUGCAAGGCUAGAAUCUGGCAGAGGGGGGUAGAAUUCCACGUGUAGCAGUGAAAUGCGUAGAGAUGUGGAGGAACACCGAUGGCGAAGGCAGCCCCCUGGGUCAAGAUUGACGCUCAUGCACGAAAGCGUGGGGAGCAAACAGGAUUAGAUACCCUGGUAGUCCACGCCCUAAACGAUGUCUACUAGUUGUCGGGUUUUAAUUAACUUGGUAACGCAGCUAACGCGUGAAGUAGACCGCCUGGGGAGUACGGUCGCAAGAUUAAAACUCAAAGGAAUUGACGGGGACCCGCACAAGCGGUGGAUGAUGUGGAUUAAUUCNAUGCAACGCGAAAAACCUUACCUACCCUUGACNUGUACGGAAGCCACGAGAGNUCGANNCGUGCUCGAAANANANNCGU
RNAcentral lists this ribosomal RNA (967 nucleotides) under uncultured bacterium. Its description in RNAcentral is "bacterial SSU rRNA". It matches the Rfam family "Bacterial small subunit ribosomal RNA", at positions 69 to 1030 of the family's 1533-position model. The record is from RNAcentral.